CCUACGGGAGGCAGCAGUGGGGAAUCUUGCGCAAUGGCCGAGAGGCUGACGCAGCGACGCCGCGUGGGGGAUGAAGCAUUUCGGUGUGUAAACCCCUGUUGCUCGGGACGAACGACCGGUUUCGACCGGUGUGACGGUACCGAGUGAGGAAGCACCGGCUAACUCCGUGCCAGCAGCCGCGGUAAUACGGAGGGUGCGAGCGUUGUCCGGAAUCACUGGGCGUAAAGGGCGCGUAGGUGGUUAGAUGCGCCGGUGGUGAAAGCGCAGGGCUCAACCCUGCGUCGGCCAUCGGGACGGUCUGACUGGAGCACUGUAGAGGCAGGUGGAAUUCCGGGUGUAGCGGUGGAAUGCGUAGAGAUCCGGAAGAACACCGGUGGCGAAGGCGGCCUGCUGGGCAGUUGCUGACACUGAGGCGCGACAGCGUGGGGAGCAAACAGGAUUAGAUACCCUGGUAGUCCACGCCGUAAACGAUGGGCACUAGGUGCUUGGGGGAGCGACCCCCUGAGUGCCGACGCUAACGCAUUAAGUGCCCCGCCUGGGGAGUACGACCGCAAGGUUGAAACUCAAGGAAUUGACGGCGUGAGCUCGACGAGCACGAGGAGGAGG
This 606-nucleotide ribosomal RNA is filed under the name uncultured bacterium. RNAcentral describes it as "bacterial SSU rRNA". It matches the Rfam family "Bacterial small subunit ribosomal RNA", at positions 338 to 944 of the family's 1533-position model. The record is from RNAcentral.